Molecule: ribosomal RNA, 84 nt
Filed under: Gentiana pseudoaquatica
Lineage: Eukaryota; Viridiplantae; Streptophyta; Magnoliopsida; Gentianales; Gentianaceae
Also listed under: 1 other name
Description: partial 5.8S ribosomal RNA
Rfam family: 5.8S ribosomal RNA
About the family: 5.8S ribosomal RNA (5.8S rRNA) is a component of the large subunit of the eukaryotic ribosome. It is transcribed by RNA polymerase I as part of the 45S precursor that also contains 18S and 28S rRNA.
Source: RNAcentral
UGCAGAAUCCCGCGAAUCAUCGAGUCUUUGAACGCAAGUUGCGCCCGAAGCCAUUAGGCUAAGGGCACGUCUGCCUGGGCGUCA